RNAcentral lists this ribosomal RNA (440 nucleotides) under uncultured bacterium. RNAcentral describes it as "partial 16S ribosomal RNA". It matches the Rfam family "Bacterial small subunit ribosomal RNA", at positions 338 to 795 of the family's 1533-position model. The record is from RNAcentral.
CCUACGGGAGGCAGCAGUGGGGAAUAUUGCACAAUGGGGGGAACCCUGAUGCAGCGACGCCGCGUGGGUGAGGAAGUACUUCGGUAUGUAAAGCCCUAUCAGCAGGGAAGAAAAUGACGGUACCUGACUAAGAAGCCCCGGCUAACUACGUGCCAGCAGCCGCGGUAAUACGUAGGGGGCAAGCGUUAUCCGGAUUUACUGGGUGUAAAGGGAGCGUAGACGGCGUGCCAAGUCUGAUGUGAAAGGCCGGGGCUCAACCCCGGGACUGCAUUGGAAACUGGCAUGCUGGAGUGCAGGAGGGGCGAGCGGAAUUCCUAGUGUAGCGGUGAAAUGCGUAGAUAUUAGGAGGAACACCGGUGGCGAAGGCGGCUUGCUGGACGGUAACUGACGUUGAGGCUCGAAAGCGUGGGGAGCAAACAGGAUUAGAUACCCGUGUAGUC